RNAcentral lists this unclassified non-coding RNA (240 nucleotides) under soil metagenome. Its description in RNAcentral is "partial contains 5.8S ribosomal RNA, internal transcribed spacer 2, and large subunit ribosomal RNA". The record is from RNAcentral.
AACGCACGAGACCUGCGGACCUGCGGAAGGAUCAUUGAUGAGAAGCUGCCCCUCGUGGGUAGACCUCCCACCCUCUGUGAACUUACCUUUGUUGCUUUGGCAGGCCCGUCCUCUGGACCGCCGGCUUCGGCUGGCCCGUGCCUGCCAGAGGAUUCCAAACCCUGUCUGUCAGUGUUGUCUGAGUCUAUAUGAAAUCGUUAAAACUUUCAGCAACGGAUCUCUAGAUCGGAAGAGCACACG